GUUUGGUUUUUCAAGGAAACUCGUUUAAACAAGGUUUGCUGUUUCCUGAAAAGGUCACAAUUUUAGCCAUUACUGAAUUCGUUUUCUGAUGAAUGUGGAAAUGCAGAGACUGUGGUACAUCUGUUUCACGAAGAUCUGAGCUACUUAAACAUUAUAAGCUUGAACACAGACAUUAUGGACGUCACCAGUCCUAUCGCUGCAUCUAUUUCAACUGU
Long non-coding RNA from Perca fluviatilis (European perch), 215 nucleotides. RefSeq lists it as uncharacterized. Lineage: Eukaryota; Metazoa; Chordata; Actinopteri; Perciformes; Percidae. The record is from RefSeq and is a predicted model, not a curated record. The transcript is spliced from 3 exons.